GACGAACGCUGGCGGCGUGCSUAAUACAUGCAAGUCGAGCGGACAGAUGGGAGCUUGCUCCCUGAUGUUAGCGGCGGACGGGUGAGUAACACGUGGGUAACCUGCCUGUAAGACUGGGAUAACUCCGGGAAACCGGGGCUAAUACCGGAUGGUUGUUUGAACCGCAUGGUUCAAACAUAAAAGGUGGCUUCGGCUACCACUUACAGAUGGACCCGCGGCGCAUUAGCUAGUUGGUGAGGUAACGGCUCACCAAGGCRACGAUGCGUAGCCGACCUGAGAGGGUGAUCGGCCACACUGGGACUGAGACACGGCCCAGACUCCUACGGGAGGCAGCAGUAGGGAAUCUUCCGCAAUGGWCGAAAGUCUGACGGAGCAACGCCGCGUGAGUGAUGAAGGUUUUCGGAUCGUAAAGCUCUGUUGUUAGGGAAGAACAAGUACCGUUCGAAUAGGGCGGUACCUUGACGGUACCUAACCAGAAAGCCACGGCUAACUACGUGCCAGCAGCCGCGGUAAUACGUAGGUGGCAAGCGUUGUCCGGAAUUAUUGGGCGUAAAGGGCUCGCAGGCGGUUUCUUAAGUCUGAUGUGAAAGCCCCCGGCUCAACCGGGGAGGGUCAUUGGAAACUGGGGAACUUGAGUGCAGAAGAGGAGAGUGGAAUUCCACGUGUAGCGGUGAAAUGCGUAGAGAUGUGGAGGAACACCAGUGGCGAAGGCGACUCUCUGGUCUGUAACUGACGCUGAGGAGCGAAAGCGUGGGGAGCGAACAGGAUUAGAUACCCYGGUAGUCCACGCCGUAAACGAUGAGUGCUAAGUGUUAGGGGGUUUCCGCCCCU
This 831-nucleotide ribosomal RNA is filed under the name Bacillus sp. BAB-4857. RNAcentral's name for it is "bacterial SSU rRNA". It matches the Rfam family "Bacterial small subunit ribosomal RNA", at positions 28 to 841 of the family's 1533-position model. The record is from RNAcentral. Lineage: Bacteria; Bacillati; Bacillota; Bacilli; Caryophanales; Bacillaceae.